RNAcentral lists this ribosomal RNA (887 nucleotides) under uncultured bacterium. Its description in RNAcentral is "bacterial SSU rRNA". It matches the Rfam family "Bacterial small subunit ribosomal RNA", at positions 9 to 873 of the family's 1533-position model. The record is from RNAcentral.
AGAGUUUGAUCCUGGCUCAGGAUGAACGCUGGCGGCGUGCCUAAUACAUGCAAGUCGAACGCGCAGCGAGAGGUGCUUGCACCUUUCAAGCGAGUGGCGAACGGGUGAGUAACACGUGGAUAACCUGCCUCAAGGCUGGGGAUAACAUUUGGAAACAGAUGCUAAUACCGAAUAAAACUUAGUAUCGCAUGAUAUCAAGUUAAAAGGCGCUACGGCGUCACCUAGAGAUGGAUCCGCGGUGCAUUAGUUAGUUGGUGGGGUAAAGGCUUACCAAGACGAUGAUGCAUAGCCGAGUUGAGAGACUGAUCGGCCACAUUGGGACUGAGACACGGCCCAAACUCCUACGGGAGGCUGCAGUAGGGAAUCUUCCACAAUGGGCGCAAGCCUGAUGGAGCAACGCCGCGUGUGUGAUGAAGGCUUUCGGGUCGUAAAGCACUGUUGUAUGGGAAGAAAUGCUAAAAUAGGGAAUGAUUUUAGUUUGACGGUACCAUACCAGAAAGGGACGGCUAAAUACGUGCCAGCAGCCGCGGUAAUACGUAUGUCCCGAGCGUUAUCCGGAUUUAUUGGGCGUAAAGCGAGCGCAGACGGUUGAUUAAGUCUGAUGUGAAAGCCCGGAGCUCAACUCCGGAAUGGCAUUGGAAACUGGUUAACUUGAGUGUUGUAGAGGUAAGUGGAACUCCAUGUGUAGCGGUGGAAUGCGUAGAUAUAUGGAAGAACACCAGUGGCGAAGGCGGCUUACUGGACAACAACUGACGUUGAGGCUCGAAAGUGUGGGUAGCAAACAGGAUUAGAUACCCUGGUAGUCCACACCGUAAACGAUGAAUACUAGGUGUUAGGAGGUUUCCGCCUCUUAGUGCCGAAGCUAACGCAUUAAGUAUUCCGCCUGG